CCGGGUUACCAAACCGGGUUACAGGGGGUUCAAAAGAACGGGUCGGGUACCAAAAAUGGACCCACGGGUACCCAGACCCGUCCAUCUACGAAACACAGCGUUUUGUCAUUUCUCUUGUUCUCACUUCUCUCACUCUCGUUUUUCCUUUCCAUAUUCUCUCACUCUCUCGUUCCCUCACUCCACUCGUUCCAGAUCUUUCACUCUUUCAUUCCAGUUAGUAACUCUUAGUUUCACACACUCUCCGUUAAAUCACUCUUAGUUAGGAUUUUUUAAUUAGGGUUUCUGAAUCUAAGGUUUUUAAUUUAGGGUUUAUGAUGAUUGUUGUUGUUACAGGUGAUUAAAGGCUUUGGACCAGUUCUCUCACUCUACAGGUGAUUAGAGUUUGUGUUUUUUUUGCUUAUAUUGUUGUUGUUUCGAUGAAUCUCUUUGUUCUCUCUAACUCUCUAACUUAAAAACUUGAUUUGUGCAUAAUAUUUGAUUACUUUGGGUUGAUCUUUGGAAACUGGAAUGUGACUUUUGCUACCCCUGCAUGAACCGUGAUUUUUGGAACUUAGUUGCAGGUGAUAUUUCAGUUCUCAUAUCAGUGGCUAGUCUUGCCUUGGCAAAUUAAACAAAUAAGAUGGAUCAACGUCAAAGUAGCACGGAAAGAGUCUUAGAGCAAGAGCAAUGCAAUUGUAAGUGUAUUUGGCUUCGUGUCUUUGAAAUAUGAAUUGGGACUGCUAUAUGAACUGGGACUGCUAUAUAACUGCUAUAUGAAUUGGGACUGCUAUAUAACUGCUAUAUAAAUUGGGACUGCUAUAUAACUUCGUGUCUUUGAAAUAUGAAUUGGGACUGCUAUAUGAAUUAGGACUGCUAUAUAACUGCUAUAUGAAUUGGGACUGCUAUAUAACUGCUAUAUGAAUUGGGACUGCUAUAUAACUUCGUGUCUUUGAAAUAUGAAUUAGGACUGCUAUAUGAAUUGGGACUGCUAUAUAACUGCUAUAUGAAUUGGGACUGCUAUAUAACUGCUAUAUGAAUUGGGCUUGUUAAGUCACUGUUUUGAGAAUUGGGACAGUUAAGUCACUUUUUUGAGAAGUCACUGUUUUGAAUAUGAAUUGCAUAUG
This is a long non-coding RNA of Lathyrus oleraceus (garden pea), 1103 nucleotides long. RefSeq lists it as uncharacterized. The transcript is spliced from 3 exons. The record is from RefSeq and is a predicted model, not a curated record. NCBI's taxonomy places the organism in Eukaryota, Viridiplantae, Streptophyta, Magnoliopsida, Fabales, Fabaceae.